RNAcentral lists this long non-coding RNA (326 nucleotides) under Salmo salar (Atlantic salmon). RNAcentral describes it as "lncRNA (ENSSSAG00000101642.1)". The record is from RNAcentral. Lineage: Eukaryota; Metazoa; Chordata; Actinopteri; Salmoniformes; Salmonidae.
GGUGGCUGAAAGCCUCAGCUGGCAUUUGUCUGUUUUUGGCUUAAUUAACCUCUAGUUUAGGCAUGCCUCUUUGUAGUUCUUGUGUAUACACUUAUUUUGGUCACCUUGAACAACGAUAACCCACUUGCGCUAGCUGACGCAGAAGUCAAUGCGGAGCUAGCCCUGGACCCAGUCUUCCCAGAUCUAUCUGCCUGUCCUGACCCUGAGCCUGCCUGCCGUUCUGUCCCUGUUUGACCCUGCCUUGGACUACGAACCACUGCCUGCCCUCGACCUGCUCUUUGCCUGCCCCUUUGUAUAAUAACAAUUCUGAGUGUCGAAUUAUCCAC